This 3265-nucleotide unclassified non-coding RNA is filed under the name Leishmania donovani. RNAcentral's name for it is "gene:LdHU3.33.4770(CDS-product:hypothetical_prote in_conserved)". The record is from RNAcentral. Lineage: Eukaryota; Euglenozoa; Kinetoplastea; Trypanosomatida; Trypanosomatidae.
CUCCGCGUACCACACACGCCACACACGGCGGCCACUCACCAAAUCGAUACACCUUUCACUUUGGUCGUAUGAGCUGGUGCACAGCUGAGCAGGUGGCAGACCUCAUCUCCGUGGCACGCCUUCGCGGCGACGUCGAUCAGGCCACGCGCAAGUCGGCCGAUUUACGCUUCCUCGAUUUGUGUGCAAACGCCGUGAACGCCGGCGAUGUCCUCAUCCAUGUGGCGACGGACGGUAGCGCGUCGCCUGCGCUGCGCCUCAACGCGCUUCUGGCCGUCGAGACACUUUUCACAAACAAGGGCUGGUGUGAAGGGGCGCAGUUUAGCGACCGCAGCACCGUCACAAAGCGCCUUCUGCACCUCGUCGCUACGGACCCGUACUUCCUGGCGCAGAGAAAGGUCGACGACGGACUGCUGCGGUGCCUCGCAAUGAUCGUUGCGUUGGAGUUUCCGACGACGGAGUGGCAGGAGUGGGUGCGCCAGUGCGCAGUGAAGUUUGCAGAGGGCGACGCUCGCAGCUGUGCCGUGCUGUGUGCGGUUGUGGCGGAGAGCUACCGAAACUACUGCCUGUGGAGCUUUCUCGCCAACGAUGUCGUUGGCUUCCUGCUUCAUGCCCAGAUCAUGACACUGCCGCUACGAACGACUGUCAUGCGGCUGUUCCUUGACCUGAUGCGCAAGCGGCCUCGCCCCUCUGUCGAUCACGAGGUUGCCUCUGCAAAAAACUGCCUGCUCCUCUCUGCCGUAGUCCGGCAGCUCGUGCUGGCGGCGCUUCUGGAGCGUGUAGAGGAGUCGGGGCAGUUGACGGGGUCUUCUUCCGACAUCUUUGUUGCGGACUGCACCGCAUCCUUCGCCGUGGCUUCCCGGCUCGUCACCGACGCUGAGUCCGCCUCGAUCCUCUUUCGGUGCAGCUCUUUUUUUCUUGUCCGUCUGCAGGCCGUCGCCGCUGCCAGCGGCUGCGUAGUGCCCACAGAGCUGCGUGACUUCACGGAGCAACUGCUUGAGUGUCUCAUUAUCACCCUGCAACUCUACCCCAAUGUAGCCGGCGCCGACUUCACCGCCGACGGACUCCUCUCGUGCCUCAUUUACUUUAUGAUUCGCCCCGGUGCGCUAGAGCGGGCCGACGCAGCGCAGCUGUCGGCUGAGUUGCUGGAGUACUUCAUCGACGAUGAGGCGGUGCCCCUGGGCUGCGGUAGCGGCGACGCCGCCAAUCUGGCGGCGGCCGUGCUGGAGUUGUAUCUUGAGCACCAUUCUGCGCAGCGGCCUCUCGCCGUCGUGGCACUGAACGGACUGCUGCGUGCGACCCCGGUGAUGGACGGGUGUCUCACCGAGGCGGUGGCGCUGGCGCUGCGAUCUGUAAGCCGCGUGUACGAGGCCAGCGAGGAUGUCGUCGUCGAUGCACUGGAUGAUGCCGUGCAGGUGGAGAUGCUCACGCAGGUAUCGCAGCUGCUUCUCCGUACCACCGACCCGCACGCGCACGUCAUGUUGAUCGAUGCGCUGACCCACUGCUUCUACCGUUCGCAAAAUCAGUCGCUAUGCACGCAGCUGGUGGAGCUUUUGCAGCAGCUGUACAUGAGCAGGGUGGAAUCCAGGGACGAUUAUGGGGAGUGCGUGCGAUGCGCGUGCGUGUACGUGGCGGGUCGCCUUGUCGACGAGCUCCGCUCGCGCGAGUGGUGUGGGCAAUUACUGCCGCCGGAAUGGAUACCACUGGCCAUGCAGCAGCUGUGCAACGGAGACGCGUUCGGUGUCUUCAGCGCAGCCUCAACGCUGUGCACACUGCUGUGCGUCGCACCCGCUAGCGCGGUGCAUAUAUCUCGUCAUGUUGCCGUGUGGGAGGAAGGGCUUUCUCAACUCUGCCACCAUGCCACUCUUCGCAGCGUUGCGGCACUUCUGACCCUCACACUGAAACGUCUCUCCGGUCUGUCGCUUGCACCAUCCGCUCUGGCGUCCCUGCCGCACAACUGCGAGCUCGUAACCCGAUCUUGCAAUGUAGUGCUGGGCUUCUGUCGAACACCGUCCCCGUCGCGCCACCUCGUCCUCCGUUCGCUCGUCAACUUCUUUGCUGACCACACGCGAACGCUGCUGCGUGGUGAUGCACCCGCGGUUGCGAGUAUGUCGGUUUCUGAGCCGCUCUCCUCCCUCGCAGCUGCUUUGCUGACAGAGGAAUACGCACUGGAGCUGGCGCAAGAUGAGCCGAGCUGCCGGGGCUUAGCCACUUUUGCUGCCGUCCAUUGCAUAGCAUGCGGCAGCGUGCAACCGUCGUCAGCGCCAGCUGCGGCUUCUGCUCUCGUGAGUGUCCUGCAAUAUGCAGUGCAGCAGCGCUUCGCCUCACAGACCAUUUCGUGCGUGUGCAGUCACCUUACAUGUGUGCUGCUCACUCAGCCGGCGCAGCUGGACGAGGCAGCCCCGCGAGUGCUGCAUGCGCUGUUUCGCGACAGCAUCGACAUCGGCGAAGGCCGUAAAGGCGCCAACUACGGAGGUGUUGCGUUUCUCAUCUCCGUGCUGCUUCUUCGCUCACCUCACGCGCUGAUUCAGAGCGCCUGCUUACGCGAUGCCAGCGGCGCAGUGGGCGCAGCGGAGCAUCUGACCGGCCUUCAGCGUGGGUUCGGCUGGUGGCUAAGCCUCGCCCCCUUUAUGGACACAAUACAGUUUCUUUACUUUACCGCCGCCACGUGUCGUCUGGUGGAUGUGGUGGUGACGCUGCCGCCGGAAGUGCUUAUCAGUCUCGGCUGCCUGAAGACGUGUUGCCAGUACAUCUUGCCGUCUGCGCACGUAAAGAAGCUACCGUCUCGCCCACUCGCCGGCGGCCAUCUUCUGCAGCACCUGGCAGUUGCGUGGAUAGAUAUCGAUCGUCGAUACAGCCGGACAAGCAAGCCGCAGUUGCUCGAGAAGGAGCUACACCCCUUUCUCUUAUCGCUCGACAGCCUGUACGAACUCCUCUGCGGCCAGAGCUUCUCCUCCUCCACCGCACGGAACCUGGUCAAGGCAUCGCCAAGUGAAACAACGGCCGCCGUUCUGGGGUACAUGGAGCACCUCGGAUGGGCCGAUGUUCUCAGCGAAGCACGACAGCAGGUGCUCGCCGCACGCGUGUAAAGUUUUACGCGUCGAGAACGUCUUGUGUGCCUGGCGUCCCUCUCUCUCCCGGUUGCUGUGGCUUCAUUUCUCCCUGUGCCAAAUGCUGCGCACUGCCUUUGUCGACUACGAGGAGAGGGAAGCACGUCGUCUACUCCAUCCUCACCCGUUUUCUCUUCAAACUCAUAUGAAGCCGCCAC